UAGUUUGUGUGUGAUAUUUGAGGCAUGAUGACGUUUUUAAAACUUUCCUCUGGUUCCUCAUCCGGGUAUCGCAUUAACUUCUCACAGCACGUGCAAUUACACGGACAUCAAGAGAAGACUCAAGGUACCACACAAUAAGAUCAAAGAACAUCUCAGGGCUCCCCCAUGCAGAAGAGCUACUGGUUGAAAGAACGAGAUGCAGAGGAGGUGAAGGAGAUAAAGGAAACAAAGACCUGGGUGUUUGAUGGAUGCUCGAGGACAACAGAUGUCUCUGCAGUAUCUAGAAACAUCAGUCUUGGUUUACAGAUUACUGUAAAUUCAGUGCUCCUGAAGUAAAAUCUGACACUUUUGUAUGAUGAUCCAGAGCCGACACGUGCGGGUAUUUGCAAUCUUUGGGAUUAAAGUGUUUGUCGAAUGUGUGAAUGCAUAAAUAUAAAUGAAUGCAGACUUCCAGGAAAUCCUGUCUAGUGCUCUCCAACUGUGAAACGGUGUCUUUAAUUUGUGUGUGGUUAGGGCAGGAGGUCAGGAAAUCUACUUCUGUUUUGAACUCAUUUCGUGUGCAGUGAGAGCACGGCCCGUCCGGAUCUGUCUGUACCUGUGCCUGUUUCUAUGGUGAGGCCGUGUUCACUGAGUCUGUACAUUGUCAAGGCUUUUCUUAGCUUAAGGAUGUUGACAGCAGACGACUUUUCCACUGUGCCGUCUACUGAACUGUUGCAUUUUUAUUUGCUACUGUAGGUUUGGUUAUAAUUUUAGUCUAGUUGUAUUCCCAAGAUUUAACCCUGCAUUCUAAAUGAGUAUUAACCAGAUAUAAUUAUAUUUGUAGUAGAAGUAUUUGUGAUUUGUCUUGCUGUGAUUCCUAUGAAGUCAGUAUUGUAAUAUUGAAAGGCGAACAUCACUGUUUAUACAGUACAGCUCAUACUGUCUAAAUAA
Molecule: long non-coding RNA, 930 nt
Organism: Paramisgurnus dabryanus
Lineage: Eukaryota; Metazoa; Chordata; Actinopteri; Cypriniformes; Cobitidae
Source: RefSeq, a predicted model, not a curated record